Molecule: non-coding RNA, 24 nt
Filed under: Arabidopsis thaliana (thale cress)
Lineage: Eukaryota; Viridiplantae; Streptophyta; Magnoliopsida; Brassicales; Brassicaceae
Source: RNAcentral
GACCCAGGUGGUCGAGUGGGAGGU